RNAcentral lists this long non-coding RNA (598 nucleotides) under Equus asinus (donkey). Its description in RNAcentral is "lncRNA (ENSEASG00005030548.1)". Lineage: Eukaryota; Metazoa; Chordata; Mammalia; Perissodactyla; Equidae. The record is from RNAcentral.
CUGACCUCAUGAUGGUUAAUGGAAUGUUCUCUCUUUUUCCAUCCUUCACAGUUAUUUGUAGAUGUUACCUGUUUCUGGUAAGAUACACAUACUUCCCUGCUGAAGCAUUUGGGAUUUCCCAGGGGAACGAUUUUUGAUCACUAUUCAACGUCAUCAUGAAGAGCCUUGCACAUUUAUAACUUUCUAUUACUCUUGUUUUGUAUCUACAUGGUGAAUCUCCUCUACAAGCACCGCCAGAGAGCCCAGUAUGUUCACAGCCCCAGCCUGUCUUCCCAGACAUCUCCGGAAAUCAAAGCCACCCACAGUAUUCUUUUGCUGAUGAGAACUACCGUUUCUCAAAGAACAUUCAGUGGAUGAUCUCGCACCCACGACUUCCUUCUGCAACAGAGAAGCUCCUCAAUGAUGAACACAAAUGGAAAAUGCCACGUGGCUAUUAAACACUUCAGAUGUGGCUAGUAUAAUUGAGAUGGACUGUAAAUUAAAAAUAUAAACAUUUUGAAUUCUUACAAUGAAUGAGUAUAUACAUGUCAAAUUAAUAAUUUUCAUAUUGAUUACUUGCUUACAUUAUAAGAAUUUGAAUUAAACCAAAUACAUUAAA